UAGGGAAUCUUCCACAAUGGACGCAAGUCUGAUGGAGCAACGCCGCGUGAGUGAAGAAGGUCUUCGGAUCGUAAAACUCUGUUGUUAGAGAAGAACACGAGUGAGAGUAACUGUUCAUUCGAUGACGGUAUCUAACCAGCAAGUCACGGCUAACUACGUCCCAG
Molecule: ribosomal RNA, 164 nt
Filed under: uncultured bacterium
Lineage: Bacteria
Description: partial 16S rRNA
Rfam family: Bacterial small subunit ribosomal RNA
Source: RNAcentral